RNAcentral lists this small RNA (27 nucleotides) under Bombyx mori (domestic silkworm). Its description in RNAcentral is "ovarian small RNA-11445". The record is from RNAcentral. Lineage: Eukaryota; Metazoa; Arthropoda; Insecta; Lepidoptera; Bombycidae.
ACGAUCGAAAAUAUUUGUGCAAAGUAU